Molecule: long non-coding RNA, 3045 nt
Filed under: Solanum tuberosum (potato)
Lineage: Eukaryota; Viridiplantae; Streptophyta; Magnoliopsida; Solanales; Solanaceae
Description: long non-coding RNA (STUB_LNC007857)
Source: RNAcentral
CCACGAUUCCCAUUUUGACUCCAAAAUUGAUCUGUCUCCGUUUGUUGUGAUAUUGGUAUCUAAACGACUGUAAUAACGUUGUGAUUCUAUUUUUGAUAGCGGGGCAGCGUUUUGAGGACGUUCGGAAAGGGAAAGCUCCGGAGAAGUGAUUUUGGAGCGCGUGUGAUCGGCCUACAGGUAGGCUACGGUUUUUCCUCUCUUAGAUUGAGCUCGAGAAUGUGAAUGCAUGUUGAUUAGUUGGGAUUUUGGUUGGGUAGUUAUUGAAUCCUGCAUAGGUGUUAAGAAAUCAUGUUUUCGGCCUAUUUCGAGAAUUAUCGGGUAACUGUGAGCAUGCUUUAUGUUAUUAAUGGACCAUCCUUGCUAUGUGGAGUACUUGCAUGCUUAAUUAUUGUUUAUUUGAAGCAUGUUGGGCCUUAGUUUAGGUUUGACUAGGGCUUGCCUUAGAAAUACAUGAUUCGAAUCCAAUAGGCCUUAGUUUUGCCCCAACGUCGCUCGGCCGGCUUAGAUCCCUGUAGACUGGUGUAGCAGACUUGAGUCUGAUAGUUUGGGCCUUAGUUAGGCGAUACGCUUGCUCCGAAUUUAGUUCUUAUUUUCCUCUAUGUUACGGCUUCACGAGUUACGUCGGCAACACUAAUUCUACUUCGCGAUUUGAAUUUGAUUUUCGAUUUGGUUCCAAGGACUUACAUUGAUUGGCUAAGUAUGGACGGCGUUCCACGGACAUUUCUGAGUAUGGAUCGAUUGGGACUCUUUCAACAGCUACAUUGGCACCUUUAUAGAGCAUCCGGUUAGAGUUCCGGCCUCUUAUACUUGUUACCUGUGAUUGGUUACUUGGGUACUUCUGGUGAGCAUCCGGUUUGAGGUCCGGCCUCCGUACUAUCAGAUUUUACUAAUUAGGGUUGAGGUUCUAAUCCGUGUUCUUCGUUCUUGGGUUCGUAUAUGCAAUUCUCUUUAGUUAUAGUUAGUGUGUGUACUCGUGGAGCUUAUGGGGGUCCGUUCGAAAUUGCAGAUUUUCUGCAAUAAAUGCAGAAAAACAGCAACAUAUUUUCCAAAAUUUCAAACCCUCAUAACUCUUUCAUCUCUCAACCGAUUUGGGCGAUCCAACAGGAAAAGUUGUGAGAUUUUUUGAGGACAACGCGUUGGUGAGCUCGGAUAGUGAUUUGGGGUCUCCGUUUGAGGUAAAUUUUGCAAUUAACCUGACUGCAGAACCCUUUUUCGAGCUGUGGUUUUUGGCAUUAUUGUUUUGAUCAUAUCUCACUCAUUUUAGCUCGGAAUUGGGUGAUUCGAAGUUCCAUGUGUUGAAAAUUAUCGUGUCUUCGUCGUAGAGUGCUUAAGGAGUGUUGGGAACUUUUUGAUUCUCGUUAAUUUCAAGUUUAGGCUGCUGCAAUGUUUUCUUUUAAGUUGAUAUAAGUGUGGUUUUCUUGCUUGUUGGGUGUUGAUGCGUUUUGAUCCCCAAAUUGUGUUUCAUUUUGGACCACAAGUUUGGAGUGCUGUUUAGGGUGUCUUGACGGAGUCAAAUUCGGACAGUUCGGUGCGUGUCCCACGAUUCCGUUUUGACUCCAAAAUUGAUUUGUCUCCGUUUGUUGUGAUUUUGGUGUCUAAACGACUGUAAUAACGUUGCGAUACUAUUUUUGAUAGCGGGGCAGCGUUUUGAGGACGUUCGGAAAGGGAAAGCUCCGGAGAAGUUAUUUUGGAGCUCGUGUGAUUGGCCUACAGGUAGGCUACGGUUUUCCCUCUCUUAGAUUGAGCUCGAGAAUGUGAAUGCAUGUUGAUUAGUUGGGAUUUGGGUUGGGUAGUUAUUGAAUCAUGCAUAGGUGAUUAGAAAUCAUGUUUUCGGCCUAUUUCGAGAAUUAUCGGGUAACUGUGAGCAUGCUUUGUGUUAUUAACGGACCCUCCUCGCUAUGUGGAGUGCUUGCAUGCUUAAUUAUUUUUUAUUCGAAGAAUGUUGGACCUUAGUUUAGGUUUGACUAGGGUUUGCCUCAGAAAUACAUUAUUCGGUUCCAAUAGGCCUUAGUUUUGCUUCGACGUCGCCCGUCCGGCUUAGAUCCCUGUGGACUGGUGUAGCAGACUUGAGUCUGAUAGUUUGGGCCUUAGUUAGGCGAUACUCUUUCUCCGAUUAUAGUUAUCCUUAUUUUCCCCGAUGUUACGGCUUCACGAGUUACAUCAGCAACACUAGUUCUACUUCGCGAUUUGAAUUUGGUUCCAAGGACUUUCAUUGAUUGGCUAUGUGUGGACGGCGUUUCACGGACAUUUAUGUGUAUGGAUCGAUUGGGACUCUUUCAACAGCUACGUUGGCACCUUUAUAGAGCAUCCGGUUAGAGUUCCGGCCUCUAUCCCCCAGAUACUUAUAUAGAGCAUCCGGUUAGAGUUCUGGCCUCUUAUACUUGUUACUUGUGAUUGGUUACUUGGGUACUUCUGGUGAGCAUCCGGUUCGAAGUCCGGCCUCCGUACUGUCAGAUUUUACUAAUUAGGGUUGAGGUUCUGAUUCGUGUUCUUCGUUCUUGGGUUCUUUUAUGCAAUUCUCUUUAGUUAUAGUUAUUAUGUGUACUCGUCGGGCUUAUGGGGGUCCGUUCGGGUUUUUAUUUAACUUGCGCACGAGUGUACCUUCUGGGCUUAUGGGGGUCCAGUUAGGUGUAGUUAGCUUAUAGAUUACUUUAGUUAGUUCUUUGUACACUCGUGUGCAUUCCCUUGUUAGUUAGAUUUUAGUUCUUGACUUCGGUUUGUGUUAUUCCUUCUUUUCAUAUUGCCUUUACUUUUCAAGUUCAGUCGGCCUAUGAUGCCUACUGGGUACCUGUUGUUUUGGUACUCAUGCUACGCUCUGCAUCUAUUUCGUGAUGCAGGUCCGGGCACUAGUAGCCAGCGUUGAUCGAGCUUGGAGCAGACUGAUCCGGAGACGGGAGUGAGCACACUACGUUUUGUACUAUUUCAGUCUCCAUCUGUAUAUAUAGACUUGUCUUUUACCUUUCGAGACAGUCCAGUCUCUGUUGUCCACUUUUGGGACUUGUACUCAUUUUGUUAGUAGCUCUGUACUAGUGACUUCCAGGUUCU